RNAcentral lists this transfer RNA (72 nucleotides) under Yoania prainii. Its description in RNAcentral is "tRNA-Gln". It matches the Rfam family "tRNA". Rfam says of the family: Transfer RNA (tRNA) molecules are approximately 80 nucleotides in length. Lineage: Eukaryota; Viridiplantae; Streptophyta; Magnoliopsida; Asparagales; Orchidaceae. The record is from RNAcentral.
UGGGGCGUGGCCAAGUGGUAAGGCAACGGGUUUUGGUCCCGUAAAUUGGAGGUUCAAAUCCUCCCGUCCUAG